This 1061-nucleotide long non-coding RNA is filed under the name Heterocephalus glaber (naked mole-rat). Its description in RNAcentral is "lncRNA (ENSHGLG00100040401.1)". Lineage: Eukaryota; Metazoa; Chordata; Mammalia; Rodentia; Bathyergidae. The record is from RNAcentral.
UGCUGAAGCUGCUAUAGGCAAGCUGUUGACUGUGCCACAGUCUUCUCUAAACACUGGCUACAGGAGAUCUUGUUUCCAGCUCACUCCCAUGGCUGUUGGCGGGAUUUUGACCCUCACAGGCUGAGGGCCUGAGUUUCUCACACACUUGUCACCAGCAGCCUUUCCUCUCUUUCUUGCAACAUAGGGUGGCUGACAACACGGUAACCAACUUCCAUCUGAGGGAGCAGAUGAGACAGAAGGCAAGAGGAAGCACCCAAGAUGGACGCCAUAUUCUUUUACUAUGGAAUCCAUCACUUCUGCUGAUUUUUGUUCAUUAGAGACAAGCCAGGAAGUCCAACCUACCUGGAGAAGAAGGGAUUACAGAAUGGUGUGAACACCAGGAUGGGGGCUCACAGGGGCCACUGUGGAGACUGUCUUUCACCCCUCUUCUCUUUCAUGCCCCUCUCACCCAGAAGUAACCACCAUUAAUUCUUUCAGAGGGUUCAAAAAGAAAGAAUUGGAUUUAAAUCAAUUUUCCAAGAUUAAACUGGAAGUGCUCCAAUGGUUUCUGCUAAGAUUUAAAUGUCAACCACUUUUCAGUGCCGUAAAUGUCAUCAUCCCCUCUGCCAAGUGGACCAGAUGAGCACUGAAACUCACAGCUUGCCUUCAAGUAAAAAAGCCUCAGCUUACCUUUGGCUGGAAGAUUGAUUCUGUGGCCCUCCUGAUUGAAGCAGGACAUGUGCCAGGCCUCACUCCCGUUGUGGUACCCAGACUCUGCCCACCAGCUGUGCUUCACCUGCCUGCGGAGGGCUGUUCCUGCUUGCCUAGUGAUGUGGACCAGCUCUGGUUUGGCCAACUCUACAGCUUCUCCACCAGGAAAAAAAGACCAUGUGUGCCAUAGGUUCACCACCACUGCCUUAGCCGGUGACUAGCAGGGCUAGGUGAGUAAAUACCCCAGCUCCUUAGCCCUUGCCUGGCAGAUUUUCGCAUGGAUGCCUGAACUUCCUGCAAAAUGAAGCCCACCAUGCUAGUCAGCUUCGGAAUAACCUGUACUGGCGGCUCCUUCCCUGCCACCUUCCCAC